Molecule: ribosomal RNA, 783 nt
Filed under: uncultured bacterium
Lineage: Bacteria
Description: bacterial SSU rRNA
Rfam family: Bacterial small subunit ribosomal RNA
Source: RNAcentral
AGAGUUUGAUCCUGGCUCAGGAUGAACGCUAGCGACAGGCUUAACACAUGCAAGUCGAGGGGCAUCAUGAUUUGUAGCAAUACGAAUUGAUGGCGACCGGCGCACGGGUGAGUAACGCGUAUGCAACCUACCUAUCAGAGAGGGAUAACCCGGCGAAAGUCGGACUAAUACCUCAUAAAACAGGGGUCCCGCAUGGGAAUAUUUGUUAAAGGAUUAAUUGCUGAUAGAUGGGCAUGCGUUCCAUUAGCUAGUUGGUGAGGUAACGGCUCACCAAGGCAACGAUGGAUAGGGGUUCUGAGAGGAAGGUCCCCCACACUGGUACUGAGACACGGACCAGACUCCUACGGGAGGCAGCAGUGAGGAAUAUUGGUCAAUGGGCGAGAGCCUGAACCAGCCAAGUCGCGUGAAGGAAGACGGAUCUAUGGUUUGUAAACUUCUUUUAUACGGGAAUAAAGUGCGGCACGUGUGCCGUUUUGUAUGUACCGUACUGAAUAAGCAUCGGCUAACUCCGUGCCAGCAGCCGCGGUAAUACGGAGGAUGCGAGCGUUAUCCGGAUUUAUUGGGUUUAAAGGGUGCGUAGGUUGUGGAUUAAGUCAGCGGUGAAAGUUUGUCGCUCAACGAUAAAAUUGCCGUUGAAACUGGUUCACUUGAGUAUAUUUGAAGUAGGCGGAAUGCGUGGUGUAGCGGUGAAAUGCAUAGAUAUCACGCAGAACUCCGAUUGCGAAGGCAGCUUACUAAGUUAUAACUGACACUGAAGCACGAAGCGUGGGUAUCAAACGGGAU